RNAcentral lists this long non-coding RNA (445 nucleotides) under Phascolarctos cinereus (koala). RNAcentral describes it as "lncRNA (ENSPCIG00000033950.1)". The record is from RNAcentral. Lineage: Eukaryota; Metazoa; Chordata; Mammalia; Diprotodontia; Phascolarctidae.
CCCAUAAACCGCUUUUGGACCCAGACACAGGAAGGUUACCUCUUGACAAGGUCAAGCACAAUGGAGGCUUUCCACUUGUAUGACAUAAGCUCAAUCACCUAUAACAAAAACAUUGAGAGAAUUAUCUCUCCAAUGGUCACCCAGCUUUGUUAUUUAAUUAUCUCAAUGGAGAGGAGUGAUGGGGAGAAUGAAGUAUUUGCUGGCUUAGGGCCAAUGGCAGAGGAGUUGGCAAAAGCCAGUGAACGACUGGCAUAUUUUGCAAGAAGGUUGGCAGGAGAGUCUGAUGAAGAGAUGUUGAAAGUGGAAAUGGUACCAGCAGCUGAAUUUCUACUCUUGUCUGGGAAGAACAUAUUACUAGUAGCUCAGGAGCUCCAUAUUCACCCAGAUAAUCAGUGCCACAAGGAAGAGCUAAUUAUCACAGCUCAGAAGAUCUUGGUGGGAACAG